GGAAUUUAAGAAACUGUUUUUUAACUUUUAACUAAAAAAACUAAGAACCAAUUCUUAUUUAAGAACCGGUUCUUAGCUUUUUUUAGUUAAAAAUUAAGAAACAGUUUCUUAACUUUC
RNAcentral lists this microRNA precursor (117 nucleotides) under Brassica oleracea var. oleracea. RNAcentral's name for it is "MIR9563 microRNA precursor family". It matches the Rfam family "MIR9563 microRNA precursor family". Lineage: Eukaryota; Viridiplantae; Streptophyta; Magnoliopsida; Brassicales; Brassicaceae. The record is from Rfam by way of RNAcentral.